GACGAACGCUGGCGGCGUGCUUAACACAUGCAAGUCGAACGGAAAGGCCCUGCUUUUGUGGGGUGCUCGAGUGGCGAACGGGUGAGUAACACGUGAGUAACCUGCCCUUGACUUUGGGAUAACUUCAGGAAACUGGGGCUAAUACCGGAUAGGAGCUCCUGCUGCAUGGUGGGGGUUGGAAAGUUUCGGCGGUUGGGGAUGGACUCGCGGCUUAUCAGCUUGCUGGUGGGGUAGUGGCUUACCAAGGCUUUGACGGGUAGCCGGCCUGAGAGGGUGACCGGCCACAUUGGGACUGAGAUAUGGCCCAGACUCCUACGGGAGGCAGCAGUGGGGAAUAUUGCACAAUGGGCGGAAGCCUGAUGCAGCAACGCCGCGUGCGGGAUGACGGCCUUCGGGUUGUAAACCGCUUUCGCCUGUGACGAAGCGUGAGUGACGGUAAUGGGUAAAGAAGCACCGGCUAACUACGUG
RNAcentral lists this ribosomal RNA (468 nucleotides) under uncultured bacterium. RNAcentral's name for it is "partial 16S ribosomal RNA". It matches the Rfam family "Bacterial small subunit ribosomal RNA", at positions 28 to 507 of the family's 1533-position model. The record is from RNAcentral.